Molecule: non-coding RNA, 31 nt
Filed under: Rattus norvegicus (Norway rat)
Lineage: Eukaryota; Metazoa; Chordata; Mammalia; Rodentia; Muridae
Source: RNAcentral
UAGCAACCUAGGGCUCCACGUGACUUAGGUU